AGAGUUUGAUCCUGGCUCAGAUUGAACGCUGGCGGCGUGCUUAACACAUGCAAGUCGAGCGGUAGCAGGCGUAGCAAUACGUGCUGACGAGCGGCGAACGGGUGAGUAAUGCAUCGGAAUCUUCCUAGUAGUGGGGAACAACCUGGGGAAACUCAGGCUAAUACCGCAUACGACCUACGGGUGAAAGCAGGGGAUCGCAAGACCUUGCGCUAUUAGAUGAGCCGAUGUCGGAUUAGCUAGUUGGUGAGGUAAAGGCUCACCAAGGCGACGAUCCGUAGCUGGUCUGAGAGGACGACCAGCCACACUGGAACUGAGACACGGUCCAGACUCCUACGGGAGGCAGCAGUGGGGAAUAUUGGACAAUGGGGGCAACCCUGAUCCAGCGACGCCGCGUGUGUGAAGAAGGCCUGCGGGUUGUAAGGCACUUUUAGUGGGGAUGAAAAGUCUAGGGCUAAUACCCUUGGAUCUUGACCUAACCCAAAGAAAAAGCACCGGCUAACUCUGUGCCAGCAGCCGCGGUAAUACGUAGGGAGCAAGCGUUGUCCGGAAUCAUUGGGCGUAGAGCGCGCGUAGAUGGCUCUAUAAGUCCGUUGUGAAAGUCAAAGGCUCAACCUUUGAAAGCCGAUGGAUACUGUAGAGCUAGAGUCCGGAAGAGGCGAGUGGAAUUCCUGGUGUAGCGGUGGAAUGCGCAGAUAUCAGGAGGAACACCAAUAGCGAAGGCAGCUCGCUGGGACGUGACUGACACUAAGGCGCGAAAGCGUGGGGAGCGAACAGGAUUAGAUACCCUGGUAGUCCACGCCGUAAACGAUGGGCAUUAGGUGUGGGAGGUGUCGACUCCUCCCGUGCCGUCGCUAACGCACUAAAUGCCCCGCCUGGGGAGUACGGCCGCAAGGCUAAAACUCAAAGGAAUUGACGGGGGCCCGCACAAGCAGCGGAGCAUGUGGUUUGAUUCGACGCAACGCGAAGAACCUUACCUGGGCUUGACAUGUCAGUGACCGCCGUGGAAACACGGUUUUCCUUCGGGACACUGUCACAGGUGGUGCAUGGCUGUCGUCAGCUCGUGUCGUGAGAUGUUGGGUUAAGUCCCGCAACGAGCGCAACCCCCGUCCUAUGUUGCCAUCAUUAAGUUGGGGACUCAUAGGAGACUGCCGGUGACAAACCGGAGGAAGGUGGGGAUGACGUCAAGUCAUCAUGCCCCUUAUGUCCAGGGCUACACACGUGCUACAUUGGCGCAUACAAAGGGCAGCAAUACCGCGAGGUGGAGCAAAUCCCAUAAAGUGCGUCUCGGUUCGGAUUGGAGGCUGAAACUCGCCUCCAUGAAGGUGGAGUUGCUAGUAAUCGCAGGUCAGCAAUGCUGCGGUGAAUACGUUCCCGGGCCUUGUACACACCGCCCGUCACACCACGAAAGCGAGUAACACCCGAAGCCGGUGGCCUAACCGCAAGGAGGGAGCCGUCGAAGGUGGGACCCGUGAUUGGGGUGAAGUCGUAACAAGGUA
RNAcentral lists this ribosomal RNA (1496 nucleotides) under metagenome. Its description in RNAcentral is "bacterial SSU rRNA". It matches the Rfam family "Bacterial small subunit ribosomal RNA". The record is from RNAcentral.